This 255-nucleotide ribosomal RNA is filed under the name uncultured bacterium. Its description in RNAcentral is "partial 16S ribosomal RNA". It matches the Rfam family "Bacterial small subunit ribosomal RNA", at positions 524 to 776 of the family's 1533-position model. The record is from RNAcentral.
GACGUAGGUGGCGAACGUUAUCCGGAAUUAUUGGGCGUAAAGGAUGCGUAGAUGGUGUAGUAAGUUAUCGGUGGCAAAUCGAGGCUCAACCUCGUGGAAAUCGGUAAUACUGCUAUGCUAGAGGAUAGGAGAGGUUAACGGAACUCCCUGUGGAGCGGUGAAAUGCGUAGAUAUAGGGAAGAACACCAAUAAGGCGAAGGCAGUUAACUAUUCUAUUCCUGACAUUGAGGCAUGAAAGCGUGGGGAGCAAAACGG